This is a long non-coding RNA of Manis pentadactyla (Chinese pangolin), 431 nucleotides long. RefSeq lists it as uncharacterized. The record is from RefSeq and is a predicted model, not a curated record. NCBI's taxonomy places the organism in Eukaryota, Metazoa, Chordata, Mammalia, Pholidota, Manidae. The transcript has 3 exons.
GGGAGAUACCUGGGAGUGGAGUAGCUGGACGGGUCACAGAUAGGUGCUCGUUUAUUGAAGACACUACCUCGGCGUGCGUGGUUGCACCGUUCCAUGUUCCCACCAGCAGGGCAGGAGGAUUCCAGUCACUCUGCGUCCUUCUAGCAUUUGGUACCGACGGUCUUUGAUUUUAGACCUUCUAACAGGUUCCAGAGGCUCCAGACAUUCCCUGGCCUGUGACAGCCUGACGUCCAUUGCUGCCCACAUUCUCCUGGCCUUCUCCCCAGGUAUCUGCCAGCGUCCUCCCCACUUCUUACAAGGUCCUCUGUAUGCCCAUAUGAAUUUUAGAAUCAGCAUGUCAAUUUCUACAAAAAAAAAAAACUAUUGGGAUUUUUUUGAGAUUGUGUUGAAUCUAUAUGGGGAGAAUUAACAUCAACCAUACUGAGUCUUCC